Long non-coding RNA from Engraulis encrasicolus (European anchovy), 853 nucleotides. RefSeq lists it as uncharacterized. NCBI's taxonomy places the organism in Eukaryota, Metazoa, Chordata, Actinopteri, Clupeiformes, Engraulidae. The record is from RefSeq and is a predicted model, not a curated record. The transcript is spliced from 5 exons.
UGCAGGAGACAAGCCCAUUUUUUAACAGAAAUUGUAUAACAUCCUUAGUUUCACAUUGCCGGUUGUUUCCCACUCGAAAUGUUGCGUGUUUAUGAGGAAAUUGCGAUUAAUGUAGCGAAAAUUAUUACUAACGUAUCCUGAGGUGCGGUCCAAUCCAAAGGCCGGUUGCUACACAUCCACCAAUGGCAUUUUCCGGCGAGUUAACGUCACACCAGGAAGUGAACGUUCUCGUCUUGUGUGAACGUGUGAAGUCUUCACGGAGAAACUUUCAGAUGCGAUGUCCCAACAAGAAUCUGCCAGUAGGCUACCACAUUACACCUCAGCAGGCACACCAGAGAAGGACCACUCCUGGAUAAGGAUUUGAGCUACUGUCACGACUGCCAUCUACACUAUAUUACACACGGCAGCAGAUGUGGGAGGUGGUGAUCAACGUGACUCGUGAGCAGGUGGAGGACUUCCACGGCCCCGCAGACUACUGCUUCCUGUGUGUGGCCUGGAGCCACCUGAGGACCUCCAAGAGCUGGCAAGGACACGGUCCGCAUCGCCCAACAUGGACAAACAGGGUGCCCAUCAUCAGCUGCUGUGACGGGCCUUCCAUGGUGUUGCUGUGAUUAUUGCAAGGACAAACAAAAACUGUUUUGUUUGGUUUAUACAAACCAAAACAAUAUGUAAAUAAACUACACAAUUUGUACUGCUAAAUCCUGCAAUUGUAAGUAGUUAUUAAGUAAUGGCUGUGUGCAUUUGUAUUAGUAAAAGCAGCAUAUAAAAAUACAUUACACAUACGUAAAGCCUGUUCUGGCCUUUUCUGUUCAGCAUUAUGAGAAGUCAAAUGGUAAAGGCAUGUUAAUAUACA